Folsomia candida is the source of this 686-nucleotide long non-coding RNA. RefSeq lists it as uncharacterized. The record is from RefSeq and is a predicted model, not a curated record. The transcript is spliced from 3 exons. Lineage: Eukaryota; Metazoa; Arthropoda; Collembola; Entomobryomorpha; Isotomidae.
CGAUCAUUGCACAGUAAAAAUUCAUUUACCGUUAAAAAUAUACUGUUAAAAUUCUACUUCAUCCACCACUCCAAGCUGGAUUGUGACUUUGGCAUUACUAAAAUGAGUCCUUCUUUCAUUGCUGAAUAAGAUGUGCUCAAUCUGACUUCUCGUGUUUGGGAAUAGGACGCGACGACAUUGCGAACAAUAGGAAAACGAUAUUCUAUGCCAAACAAUAAGUUUACUAUCGGCUUCCAGUGUCAAUAAUAAUAAAUUGUAAAUUUAUUGAAUAUAUUAAACGGUAGAUAAAGUGUUACAACCAUGCAUAUGUGAGUUAGAGCCUUUCCUUAUUUAUAUUCGAAACAACAUGAACUGAAACAUGGCAUUGACUUAAAUAAAUCUAGUCGUUACUCAUCAAGAUAGUUAAAUUAUCGGCUACUUUUCGUUUUUUAAGGUCCAACUCUUGUUCAACUUGAUUACGUUCCGCCAUUAAUUCCUUGCAUAACAUCAACUUGCUUUGUCAUUAAAUCAAUCUGCGAUCGUGAUAGCUGCUGUGAUUUCGUCCGUGUGAUUUCGGGGCACUCAUGUAGAUUAAGAAUUAUAGCAAGUCUCGAUAGUACUCGUGCCUCUUAAGACUUGGGAUUUGAUGAGUGACGCAAAUAAUGUGCAAACAAGGCUGCUUCUUAUUAAUUUGCGCUUUUGAGGGA